RNAcentral lists this ribosomal RNA (163 nucleotides) under Aster handelii. Its description in RNAcentral is "5.8S ribosomal RNA". It matches the Rfam family "5.8S ribosomal RNA". From Rfam's summary of the family: 5.8S ribosomal RNA (5.8S rRNA) is a component of the large subunit of the eukaryotic ribosome. It is transcribed by RNA polymerase I as part of the 45S precursor that also contains 18S and 28S rRNA. Functionally, it is thought that 5.8S rRNA may be involved in ribosome translocation. Lineage: Eukaryota; Viridiplantae; Streptophyta; Magnoliopsida; Asterales; Asteraceae. The record is from RNAcentral.
CAAACGACUCUCGGCAACGGAUAUCUCGGCUCACGCAUCGAUGAAGAACGUAGCAAAAUGCGAUACUUGGUGUGAAUUGCAGAAUCCCGUGAACCAUCGAGUUUUUGAACGCAAGUUGCGCCCGAAGCCAUUCGGCCGAGGGCACGUCUGCUUGGGCGUCACG